GACGAACGCUGGCGGCGUGCUUAACACAUGCAAGUCGAACGGGAAGGCCCUUCGGGGUACACGAGUGGCGAACGGGUGAGUAACACGUGGGUAAUCUGCCCUGCACAUCGGGAUAAGCCUGGGAAACUGGGUCUAAUACCGAAUAGGACCACAGGACACAUGUCCUGUGGUGGAAAGCUUUUGCGGUGUGGGAUGGGCCCGCGGCCUAUCAGCUUGUUGGUGGGGUGAUGGCCUACCAAGGCGACGACGGGUAGCCGGCCUGAGAGGGUGUCCGGCCACACUGGGACUGAGAUACGGCCCAGACUCCUACGGGAGGCAGCAGUGGGGAAUAUUGAACAAUGGGCGAAAGCCUGAUGCAGCGACGCCGCGUGGGGGAUGACGGCCUUCGGGUUGUAAACCUCUUUCACCAUCGACGAAGGUCCGGGUUUUCUCGGGCUGACGGUAGGUGGAGAAGAAGCACCGGCCAACUACGUG
RNAcentral lists this ribosomal RNA (474 nucleotides) under uncultured bacterium. RNAcentral describes it as "partial 16S ribosomal RNA". It matches the Rfam family "Bacterial small subunit ribosomal RNA", at positions 28 to 507 of the family's 1533-position model. The record is from RNAcentral.